RNAcentral lists this ribosomal RNA (253 nucleotides) under uncultured bacterium. RNAcentral describes it as "partial 16S ribosomal RNA". It matches the Rfam family "Bacterial small subunit ribosomal RNA", at positions 524 to 776 of the family's 1533-position model. The record is from RNAcentral. RNAcentral also lists the same sequence under 1 other name.
UACGGAGGAUCCGAGCGUUAUCCGGAUUUAUUGGGUUUAAAGGGUGCGUAGGCGGUUCAAUAAGUCAGUGGUGAAAGUUUUCGGCUUAACCGGAAAAUUGCCGUUGAUACUGUUGGGCUUGAAUUUGGUUGCUGUGAGUGGAAUGUGUGGUGUAGCGGUGAAAUGCUUAGAUAUCACACAGAAUAUCGAUUGCGAAGGCAUCUCACAAAGCCAAUAUUGACGCUGAUGCACGAAAGUGUGGGGAUCAAACAGG